Molecule: ribosomal RNA, 253 nt
Filed under: uncultured bacterium
Lineage: Bacteria
Description: partial 16S ribosomal RNA
Rfam family: Bacterial small subunit ribosomal RNA
Source: RNAcentral
UACGUAGGGUGCAAGCGUUAUCCGGAAUUAUUGGGCGUAAAGAGCUCGUAGGCGGUUUGUCGCGUCUGCUGUGAAAACUGGAGGCUCAACCUCCAGCCUGCAGUGGGUACGGGCAGACUAGAGUGCGGUAGGGGAGAUUGGAAUUCCUGGUGUAGCGGUGGAAUGCGCAGAUAUCAGGAGGAACACCGGUGGCGAAGGCGGUGUCCUGGGCCGAUCCUGACGCUGAGGAGCGAAAGCUGGGGGAGCAAACAGG